Long non-coding RNA from Belonocnema kinseyi, 724 nucleotides. RefSeq lists it as uncharacterized. The record is from RefSeq and is a predicted model, not a curated record. The transcript has 2 exons. NCBI's taxonomy places the organism in Eukaryota, Metazoa, Arthropoda, Insecta, Hymenoptera, Cynipidae.
AAAUUAUAAACAUUGUAGACAAUAUUGGCAAAUUUGACAAAUUCAGAAUUUUAUAAAAAAUGAUAUCUUGUAAAAUCUAACAAUUUCUAAUGUAAAACUUGACGCUAAUAUUAAACGAUUUUGUACAAUAAAUGUGUUCUUGUAUUUUUAAAAGUCACUUAUUUUAAUUGGUAUUAUACAUAACUUUAAGAAGAACAAAUCAAUAAUAAGUGACUUCUAAAUUACAAAAACAUUUUCAUUGUAUGUUCGGUGGGAGAGUUUUUAAUUUUAGGCUACAUAAUACAUGAAGACGAUAGUGUCAAAUAAUUUUAAAGUAGUAUCAUUCAAACAAUUAAAAAAAAUUGUACGUAAAUUUAAGUUUCUAUGAUUGUUACGGAAUAUUUUGACAAAUCCUGCGUUAAUCUUAUUGACAUUAUUAGUAUGGAUUAUAUAUCAAGAGAAAAUUUAUUAUCUCAUGGGAUUUUUGAGGCUCUUAGUUUGUAAUGUACUUUAUCCACAAAUUUCCAUAUUGCAUCUGUAGUUAAUGAAACAUGUGGUUUAAUCAAAUCGAAACCACAACCACGAAAUCCAGAAACUAGAGUUUCUCUACUUCUCGAAAAACCAUGACAUACAGAAGGACCAAUGGGUCCUUAUUAUUUUCCAACUGACCACUAUUUGUAUCAUUUUACUCUGUACAUAUCGCAAUUGCAAAAAUAAUAUCUUCUAAAUACAAAAAUCUUUUUAA